GAAAUGCGAUAAGUAAUGUGAAUUGCAGAAUUCAGUGAAUCAUCAAAUCUUUGAACGCACCUUGCGCUCCUUGGUAUUCCUUGGAGCAUGCCUGUUUGAGUAUCAUGAAAUCUUCAAAGUAAAUCUUUUGUUAACUCAAUUGGUUUCUACUUUGGUAUUGGAGGUCUUUGCAGCUUCACACCUGCUCCUCUUUGUUCAUUAGCUGGAUCUCAGUGUUAUGCUUGGUUCCACUCGGCGUGAUAAGUUAUCUAUCGCUGAGGACACUGUAAAAGGUGGCCAAGGUAAAUGCAGAUGAACCGCUUCUAAUAGUCCAUUGACUUGGACAAUACUUUUAUGAUCUGAUCUCAAAUCAGGUAGGACUACCCGCUGAACUUAAGCA
This 379-nucleotide unclassified non-coding RNA is filed under the name plant metagenome. Its description in RNAcentral is "partial contains 5.8S ribosomal RNA, internal transcribed spacer 2, and large subunit ribosomal RNA". The stretch from base 1 to 105 matches the Rfam family "5.8S ribosomal RNA", at positions 50 to 154 of the family's 154-position model. The record is from RNAcentral.